UACGGGUAGUGCGAGUGUUAUUCCACGUGAUUGGGCGUAAAGGGUGCGAGGGCUGUCUAGCAAGAUUUAGGUAAAGAGGUACGAAAUGUGCAGAUGCCUAUUAAAACUACUAGACUGGAGUAUAUUAGAAGAUAGCGGAACCGUUAGGAUUAGAGUUAAAAUACGUUAUAAAAACUAACGAGAACACCAGAGGCGAAGGCGGCUGUCUAUUUUAUAACUGACGCUUAGGCACGAAGCAUGGGUAUCGAAUGGG
This 253-nucleotide ribosomal RNA is filed under the name uncultured bacterium. RNAcentral describes it as "partial 16S ribosomal RNA". It matches the Rfam family "Bacterial small subunit ribosomal RNA", at positions 524 to 776 of the family's 1533-position model. The record is from RNAcentral.